Long non-coding RNA from Bicyclus anynana (squinting bush brown), 2030 nucleotides. RefSeq lists it as uncharacterized. NCBI's taxonomy places the organism in Eukaryota, Metazoa, Arthropoda, Insecta, Lepidoptera, Nymphalidae. The record is from RefSeq and is a predicted model, not a curated record. The transcript is spliced from 2 exons.
GUUUAUAUUUUCAAUCGUUUCCAUUCGAUCAACUUUCUAAGUAAUAAAGCCUUAUAGAAAAAUGUCCAAAACUUGGUACUAAUUAUAGUAAUUUACUGUGAAUAGAGUUAAGAUUCCAUUUGAUUUUGAAUAACGUACGGCUUAAAGAAAACCGAGAGAGAUGGCGCUGUUUGGCGUUUAGCCCUAUAAGUUAGCAGACGCUCGCGACUUCGUCUGCGUGGAAAUCGAUGUAAACUUUCAACCAAAGAGUAGAAUUGAACAGAGAGAGCGCACGGAACACGACGGUGACGUAGCUGCUCCAAAUACAAAAUUAAAAACGAUAAACGAAUACAUUCAACGAAGUCAGUACGACUGACGACACGAAGCGUCGCUUUACGGCUUCAGUAUAUUUCAAUGGUAUUAAAAAAAUGGCGUCUUGUGUUUUUAAAUAUUAUGUUAAAAACUGUUUACACAAACUAAACAAAUAAGAUGGAGUAUUUUUUGUUUGGUAAUUGAUUAUUAUAUUAAUUUAUUUAAUUGUUGUUACUGUUAACUUUUGAAAUAUAAAUUAUGAAAAAAGUAUACAGACGGAUGUCAAGGAGACGCGUGACAUUUCUUUGUUUCAUGGCUUUCUCCGGCUUCACCACGCUGCUUAUAAAUAUUCAGUCUGGAUCAUUAUUUACUCUUUAUUCAAAACAUGAACGAUUUAUAUUUAAAAAACUUCAACCCAUUGUUAACCCUAUGGUCGAAUUUUGAAAAACCUUGAAUGAAAAUAUUUUUAGUAUUUUACUGCUAGUCCACUAAACUAAUUUAUAAAACUGUAACUGUAAAAAACAAUAAAAUAUGUUUGGUUUCAGUAUCGGAUAGGUAUAAUAUAAUGCCCAAUAUAUGACCUCCAACUACAAUUUUCAAAAUAUCUUCAAUGUACAGAACAAUUGACCUGCUACAGUUUUAUUAAAAGUAGGUACUUAUAGAUUUUUAGCACAUUUUUAGACACACUUGAUUUUUAUUUAUGAUUCGAGUUCGUUUUGACAUGCCAAAUGGUCAGAAUGGUUGAAACAUCCGACCUUAUUAACCGACUUUAAAUGUUGGAGGCCACCGCCUUCAAACUGCUCAGAAGGUAGCACAUAGGUACGAUGUUAUUUUUUGCUUUUUAGUUUUGGUUAUAAUUUGUGUUGGAAGUCGGUUGAAUUUUUUUAGAAUAGCGCUUGCUCUUGGCACAAUUUUCUUUCUUAUUUGCAGUGUGAAGCUAUACGCCUCGUGUAGAAGGACUAGAAGUUUGAUGAAAUAAUACCUAAUAAUAAUCAAUGUACACAAGAAAUAAAAAGCCAACAUACUUUAGUCAUCAUCAUCAUCAUUAUUAAUCCAUAAUUGGCUCACUGCUGAGCUCGGGUCAUCUCUCAGAAUCUCGAGCUCAGCCCCCCCUGGGUCAAGCCAUUAGCCCACACGCGCAGAGAAUUAAGAAAAUUCUCUGGUAUGCAGGGUUCCUCACGAUGUUUUUAAUUCAGCGUUUGAGACAUGUGAUAUUUAAUUUUUAAAAUGCUUACAACUGAAAAGUUGGAGGUGUAUGCCCUGGACCGGAUUCGAACCCACACCCUCCGGGAUCGGGGGCAGAGGUCAUAUCCCCUGGGAUAUCACGGCUCACACAUACUUUAGUAGUCACGAGUAGUAGUGUUAUUUAACUUUACUUGGCUUUAAAGUUAAAGCUCUCAAAGUGAUCCGGUGAUAUUUUACUUUAUGUCAUCCAUUCAUAACACAAUCAAUCAAUUAAUUAACUAAGUACCUAAUCAAUUCUCACAUAAAAAAAACUAUUUCACUACUCUUGCUCAAAAACACUGUCAUAUUACCACUCCACAGCGGGGCUAAACAAACAUUUCAGUCUCUAGGGGCUAAAGUAAUUUUGUUUUUUUUUUAAUUCUUGUCUGUUACGAGUACUAGCCAAGUACUAGCCUACUAUAAAACGGAGGAGGUUUUAUUCGAAAAUAGAAUCAUUAUAGGUAAGGCCCUGAUUGUUUGGAAAAAUAAAUAAAAAACUUUAAAUUGGAAUGAAA